AAGAUUUUAAGUUAAAUUUAAACUAUUAACCUUCAAAGUUAAAUAUAUAUAUAUAUAUAUAAAUAUUUAAAUCUUA
Molecule: transfer RNA, 76 nt
Filed under: Diadromus collaris
Lineage: Eukaryota; Metazoa; Arthropoda; Insecta; Hymenoptera; Ichneumonidae
Description: tRNA-Trp
Source: RNAcentral